This 75-nucleotide transfer RNA is filed under the name Pseudodesulfovibrio sediminis. Its description in RNAcentral is "tRNA-Gln". It matches the Rfam family "tRNA". From Rfam's summary of the family: Transfer RNA (tRNA) molecules are approximately 80 nucleotides in length. Their secondary structure includes four short double-helical elements and three loops (D, anti-codon, and T loops). Further hydrogen bonds mediate the characteristic L-shaped molecular structure. tRNAs have two regions of fundamental functional importance: the anti-codon, which is responsible for specific mRNA codon recognition, and the 3' end, to which the tRNAs corresponding amino acid is attached (by aminoacyl-tRNA synthetases). tRNAs cope with the degeneracy of the genetic code in two manners: having more than one tRNA (with a specific anti-codon) for a particular amino acid; and 'wobble' base-pairing, i.e. permitting non-standard base-pairing at the 3rd anti-codon position. The record is from RNAcentral. Lineage: Bacteria; Pseudomonadati; Thermodesulfobacteriota; Desulfovibrionia; Desulfovibrionales; Desulfovibrionaceae.
UGGGGCGUCGUCAAGUGGUAAGACACAUGGUUUUGGUCCAUGUAUUCGAGGGUUCGAAUCCUUCCGCCCCAGCCA